GGAACCCAUAUCCCUAUCUUGGCACCGGAGCACCAAGCUGGCGAGUACAUAAACCGCAAGGGGUACUUUUCAAUGGUGCUGCAAGCACUGGUGGAUCACAAGGGACAUUUUACUAACAUCAACGUAUGAUGGCCGGGAAAAGUACAUGCCCUCGCAUCUUCAGGAACUCUGGUCUGCAUAAAGCAGGGG
Chelonia mydas (Green sea turtle) is the source of this 189-nucleotide long non-coding RNA. RefSeq lists it as uncharacterized. The record is from RefSeq and is a predicted model, not a curated record. NCBI's taxonomy places the organism in Eukaryota, Metazoa, Chordata, Testudines, Cheloniidae. The transcript is spliced from 3 exons.